CAACCUUCAAUUGACCACGUGGCUGCAGGAGCAGCAGGGCAUGCACGUGAAGCAUCUCCAACGUUUUUGGCUGGUUCAACUUGUGAACGUGCAGCUAAUUUGGAACGGACCAAAUUGCUAGAAAAUGGAACUUUGGCAAGUUCAGAAGCAAGUGUGUCUUCUCCGACAGCACGAGAGCGGCGCUUGUUAGGUCUCUCUCCAACGGAAGCGUUUCAAAUAAAUUCGGUGACGAUGAAGAGUAAAGGGCAACGACGUUUGCACAUCAAGGAACCGAAUUUUUUUGAAGACGCAAAUAUGGAGGAGUGUUGGUGUCGUGCUAUGGAUGAAGAGUUGGGGUCGAUCCGAGACAACGAUACAUGGGAGCUCAUGGAUCUUCCCAACGGACAUAAUGCCAUAGAGUUCAAGUGGGUGUACAAAGUCAAGAAAGAUGUCGAAGGGAACUUGGUCAAGCAUAAAGCAAUGCUCGUAGCUAAAGCAUGCGUGCAAGAGCAAGAUGUGGACUUCGAAGAAGUGUUCGCUCCAGUUGCA
This 528-nucleotide ribosomal RNA is filed under the name Triticum aestivum (bread wheat). Its description in RNAcentral is "partial small subunit ribosomal RNA". The record is from RNAcentral. Lineage: Eukaryota; Viridiplantae; Streptophyta; Magnoliopsida; Poales; Poaceae.